UUGAUUCUGGCUCAGGAUGAACGCUAGCGGCAGGCCUAACACAUGCAAGUCGAGGGGCAUCACGAGGUAGCAAUACUUUGGUGGCGACCGGCACACGGGUGCGUAACGCGUAUGUAACCUACCUAUAACAGGGGCAUAACACUGAGAAAUUGGUACUAAUUCCCCAUAGUAUUCGGAGAGGCAUCUCUCCGGGUUGAAAACUCCGGUGGUUAUAGAUGGACAUGCGUUGUAUUAGCUAGUUGGUGAGGUAACGGCUCACCAAGGCAACGAUACAUAGGGGGACUGAGAGGUUAACCCCCCACACUGGUACUGAGACACGGACCAGACUCCUACGGGAGGCAGCAGUGAGGAAUAUUGGUCAAUGGACGCAAGUCUGAACCAGCCAUGCCGCGUGCAGGAAGACGGCUCUAUGAGUUGUAAACUGCUUUUGUACGAGGGUAAACUCACCUACGUGUAGGUGACUGAAAGUAUCGUACGAAUAAGGAUCGGCUAACUCCGUGCCAGCAGCCGCGGUAAUACGGAGGAUUCAAGCGUUAUCCGGAUUUAUUGGGUUUAAAGGGUGCGUAGGCGGUUUGAUAAGUUAGAGGUGAAAUCCCGGGGCUUAACUCCGGAACUGCCUCUAAUACUGUUAGACUAGAGAGUAGUUGCGGUAGGCG
RNAcentral lists this ribosomal RNA (656 nucleotides) under uncultured bacterium. RNAcentral describes it as "bacterial SSU rRNA". It matches the Rfam family "Bacterial small subunit ribosomal RNA", at positions 13 to 663 of the family's 1533-position model. The record is from RNAcentral.